Molecule: non-coding RNA, 1561 nt
Organism: Camelina sativa (false flax)
Lineage: Eukaryota; Viridiplantae; Streptophyta; Magnoliopsida; Brassicales; Brassicaceae
Source: RefSeq, a predicted model, not a curated record
GUUACUGUCGACCCAUGAAGAUCAUUGACGAUAAAUCCUGGUCGAUCUUCUACGGUCCAUGUGACGCAUAUUUCAUCAACGACGUGUUGAUGUUUUCUUCCGGAUCGAGAGAUCCCAAGCAGAACACAAGCUAGCUUGCCUCGACUCAGACAUCUGCACUUGUGGUGUUGUGUUCUGUGGCACCCUGUAACACUUUUUGGAUACAAGUGCGGCCCUCCUGAUCGUCCUCUCCCUUCUGGAAUACUAGCAGCAAGAGCUCACAACCACCAAGUGGAUAUUACCCCUUGAUUUGCCAAGGUUAUGUCCAUGUUAUCCUCUACCCUAGAAAUUGCAAAGGCCGAGUGCAUCUCCACAGCCUUCUCUGCUGCAGGAGCCACCUCCGCUCCUUAUGAGCACUUGAAUUUUUACGAUUGCACUGCACAAGAGCCUCAACUUAUCAUUUGCAUGAGGCGUGCCCACGGGAAUAUCAAAUCACUUGUUUUCGGGUGGCCGUUCUUAACAAGUGUAUCAACUACGUCCCUGGAGUUGCUACCUUAUAGCGGAUCACAGCUACGAAGCCUAAACCUCACAUAUCUUGAUGCAUCUUAUCCAAGUGACUACACUAAUUUGUUGGCACCAUUCUUUGCUAACUGUCCAUUAACAGAUUUCGGAAUCGAAAUCCAUAAUUACAGUUUCAAGUCCAUCUUGCUUAUGAAAGUCUUUCAUAAGCACAGUUGGAAAAGUUGUGCUACACUAGAGACAUGGAAGACUUUCAUAAGCAAGUGCGCAAAUAUACAGUCUUAGUCUAAUUGGUCUAAUUGGUGUUCGAAUUCGGGAUGAUGCUCUUGAAGAAAUUAUCAAGGGGUUGAAGCUUAUGAGAAGUCUCGAUCUUUCUCUGUCUGAUGGAUUCAGUGGGAAAUUUCUCUGUGUUCCAUUUUUACUGGGGGUCGAGCUCCAAAUUGAGGCACUAGCAUUGUCAGGAUGCUAUGAUUUAUCCCAAAAUGGACUUGGUCACUUUCUUCUCCAGCUUUCUCAAGAUGACUCCUCCUACCGACAUUUGAAAAAAAUGGUUUUACCCCCAGCAGUUGGACUUUGGAAGAGUUUUGAUGUGCUGUCAGACGUAGGCCUUGUCGAACUCGAGCUCUUAUCGGCGCAGCUCACAGUAGCCAGCAGGUUUAAUAUAUAGUUUAUGAUUCAUCCUUGAUAUCCACUCAAGUUUCAUCCUUGAUAAAGUUAUGGAAGACUUAAAAGCAGACGUUGGAGAUGACUAUGAUGCAGAAUUGCAGAUGACUUUUUCAUCCUCCCACCCGAUGACAUGUAAUCAAUCUCUUGGUGAAGAAGGAACUAAAUAUAGGAAGGAAUUAUUUCUGAUCUUAUUGCCAUUCUGUAUUUUUAUCAACCCUGUGGUUAGAAAGACAGAAAAGGCAGAUAGAGAAGGGUUAUGUUCUUUUCUUAACAUUAAACUUGGAGUUGGAGGUGGUGGAGGAGAUAAGAUAUGAAAAGGAUAUAUAUAUCGUGUAACGGAAUUAGGGUUUUGGUUACCGAAAAAAACAAAUUAGGGCUUAACUUAAUCCUUGGUUUA